GGAGGGGCUGUGGCUCAGCUGUAGAGCAUCUGCCUGGCCUACAGAAGGUCCCGAGUUCAAUCCCAGCCCCCCCCCCCUCCA
RNAcentral lists this transfer RNA (81 nucleotides) under Sphaerodactylus townsendi. RNAcentral's name for it is "tRNA-Ala". The stretch from base 4 to 71 matches the Rfam family "tRNA". Rfam says of the family: Transfer RNA (tRNA) molecules are approximately 80 nucleotides in length. Their secondary structure includes four short double-helical elements and three loops (D, anti-codon, and T loops). The record is from RNAcentral. Lineage: Eukaryota; Metazoa; Chordata; Lepidosauria; Squamata; Sphaerodactylidae.